Molecule: long non-coding RNA, 1035 nt
Filed under: Struthio camelus australis
Lineage: Eukaryota; Metazoa; Chordata; Aves; Struthioniformes; Struthionidae
Description: lncRNA (ENSSCUG00000012375.1)
Source: RNAcentral
CACUGGGGGGCAGCACGGCCAGUGAGGGUGCUGGGAGUCCCUCUGCACCACCGGGUAGGCUCCGUCCACGGGGCCAUGGGUGGCAUGCUCCAUCACCUUCAGCUACCUCGAGCUCUGCAGACCCUGGGGAUUACCCCAAGGCACAGGCGGCAGCUCUGGCCCCAUGUGGGGCAGUCUGCAGGGUGCCUGCACAGCCCUGGCAGAGCAGGCAUGUGGCACCUGUCCCAGGGGCUCUGCUGUGCAGCCAACACCUUGUUCUUCCUCUUGCAGAAAAGCUGAUGAGGACCAUGGAAGCAGGUACUGGGAGUGACCCUGGGUGCUGGUGCCUCUGCUCCUCCUUGGGGCAAGAUGCAACCACCCCCCUGCCUAUGCCAGCUCCCUGGGAUGGCGAUGGGACAAUGCCCUGCUCCCGUCCCCAGACAAGCACCUUGGUGCCCCACGGGCUGCUCCACCCGGCAAGCAUCCCUGGAGCGGGGCCAUGCCCCUGACACCUCCUUCUCUUCCCUUCCAGAAAACUAUGACCUUCGACUCCAGAAAGAGAGAGCCAUGAAAGAGCUGGCUUUCCGAAGGGCACGGAGCUACCAGGGUGAGCGCUGGGGCUGGCGGGAGCUGUGGGGACUGCCACCCACCGGGAGGGGGACGGGUGGAGGGUGCCCUGUGGUGCCGAGCCUGGAUCACCCCGGCAGCUUGGGUCCAUCUCCCGGCGCUUGGAGCCGCGCAGGGAUGCUUGGCUGGGAGAGGCAUGGCAUGGCCCAGCGGGGGGCAGGAGGCGUCGGGUCUCUGCCCACCCUCCAUCGCCCAGGGCACGUGGGCAGGAGGGGACGGGGGGCUGGCGGACCCCUCCACAGCCCACGGCUCAUGGGGCCAUACCCCUCUCUCCACAGUGACCAUCACCCUGGACUCAAGCCACCAGCACCCCGAACUUGUCGUGUCGGAGAACGACCGAUGCGUCCGGUGCCGGCCCUCCUCGCAGGGGCCAGCCCCCCGCAUCGCUGUGGGGCACCCGGGCUUUGCAUCCCAACGGGCUUACUGGGA